RNAcentral lists this long non-coding RNA (8543 nucleotides) under Cicer arietinum (chickpea). RNAcentral's name for it is "long non-coding RNA (CARI_LNC002775)". The record is from RNAcentral. Lineage: Eukaryota; Viridiplantae; Streptophyta; Magnoliopsida; Fabales; Fabaceae.
UUUAUUGAUAAAGAGGUAAAAUUAUUUUAAAAUAAAUAAUUGUUUAAAUUUUUAAAAAUAAUAAAAUAUCAAAAAAGUAUUAUCGUUACUUCUAAAAAUAUAUUUUCAUUAAUUAAUAUUUUAUAUUCUUCUUAUAACAAUAAUUUACUUAGAUUUUUUUUAUAAAAAUAAAAUAAAUAUAUAUCUUAAAAAGUAAAAAUAUUUUCACAAAAUAAAUAAGACAUUUAACUUUAACUUGGGGGAUGUGAGUUUUAAUUUAGUGUGGUGUGACACAAUCCUGAAUUUGUAUUUGUAUUUUUAUUUUUCAGUCGAGACAGAGUCCGUGGAGGUGAAUGUGUUGGAAAAAAAAGUGACACUUACCUUCAGAUUACCAACUGUUGCUAAAAGAAUCACUCAACAAAUUACUCCCAUCAAUAGGAAUUCUCUGCCUAAAAUUGCCACUAUCAAACGUUUAUUUCGAUCUUCCCUUCAGUAACUGCACUUUACAAAGAAUCUCUAUGUUCACAAAGGAUAUUUUGUUUAUUGAUUUGACAUUGUAUAGAAAUAAUAUUUUUUGCCUCAUAAUUGAAUUGGUUUUAUGAUUAGCGAUUGUUUCUUGAUAAAAUUUUGUUUUAUAGUUUGAACACAUAAUAGUUUCAUAUUCAUUUUUGUUGAUCUUGUUUUGUGCACAUACCUUGAGAAUAUGGUAUUUUCUAAUUAUAUAAAUCAAAAUAAUAUUAUUUAAUCUAUCUGAUCUGAACAUGUAAGACCAAAAUUUAAUUUAAAAAUAUAUAUUUAACUUAAAAUUCUAAUUUAACUGAUAAAUGUCGAUAUUGUUAGGUUGAAUAUUUUAUCUCAAAUUCGAAUCGAGACCUUAAAUAAUUGUAUGACUUAUUUAUGAUAAUAUUUACCACAUCUUCUAAAAUAAAUUAUCUUAUAAUAGAUGCAAUAGAAACAACCAAAUUAAGUGAUUCAUGCAUUAGAAAAAAAAUUAUUUUCAAAAAAUUCAAGAUAUAUAAUAAAAUAUGAUUUUGAAUCUACCGUUAAAAUCUUUCUAAUAAUUUUUAAUACAUCAUGUAAAAUUUCAUCUAAUAAUUUUUAAUACAUCAUGUAAAAUUUCAUCUAAUAAUUUUUAAUACAUCAUGUAAAAUUUCAUCUAAUAAUUUUUAAUACAUCAUGUAAAAUUUCAUAAUGUUGAUAUAUCUUUGGAGGUUCAGCAUUUGUGUUUCCUUCUCUAUCUUUUAGAUAGAAAUUUGAGAGAUGGGAUCUAAAUCCACGAUGGAUUUUCCCAGCAACUCUCAAAACAUAUGACUUUCGUUCCUCAUCAAGAACAAAAGUGGUCUGCAAUGAAAACAAUUAUAAGUAAUGUAUUUUACAGAAAAAAAAUUAUAAAUGACAAAAGAGUAGAUCAAAAUAUUUACUUGAAUGUCAUUCCAGAUGAUAUCUUUGGCAUCCUUCAACGCCUUAUCUCUCCAGUUGUCUAUUGUUAUUGGGACAUUUUGACGAACAACAGCCCCAAUGUAGCUUACAAACAUGGAGCUGUUGGGGUCAACUGGCUGACCACUCUCGUUCCAGCCAACCUAAUAAACUCAUAUAGUAAGUACAUGCCCUAAACCCUAAAAAAAGAUAAAAAAACACACAGCAAACAGAGUAUAUAUAGUAUACCUCAAAUUUAAUGCCACUGCUCCGUGCUUUAAUCACCCUUUGCAUGAUAGUUGCACCACGUUUGACUUCUUUUUCGUAAGUCUUAGAGGUGCCAACUUCUUCAUUUUGAACUUCUAAAUCUUUGUUUGUAUCCAUUUAACUACAACAAGUUCAACAUGCACUUUAGUAUAACAUCAACAAGCUCAACAUGGAUCAUGCAUUAUUAUAAACAAACUCAACAUGUAUCAGUAUAUCUUAAAAAAGCUCAACAUGCAUUCUAAUGAUUACAAAAAUUUAAUAACAUCAAUACCUGAAUAAUGAUGGUUCGAAGAAAGACGAAAUGCAAAGAAAAGAGGGUUUGCAGAAAGUUCACAGAAAUAUGGUUCACAGAAAUACGGUUUGAAGAAAUACGUAAUGAGGGUUACGUAUUUCAAUGAAAAUAUAUUGUGUGAAAUGGGAGAGAUGAUCUUGGAUGGAAAUAAGGUUCGAAAUGAAGGAGAUGAUCGUGGAAAUAAGGUUCGUAAAGGACGGGAUGAUAGGGUUUGCAAAAGAAGAGAAGAAAUGAAGGUUGAGAUGAAGGUUACGUAAUGAAGAGGAAACUGAAGAGGUAACUGUUAUAUAUACGUAACACUUUUACAGCGCUUUUUAUAAGCCUUUUACAGCGCUUAUUUUGUAAAGCGCUCUAAAAGGCUUCUUUAGUUAAAUUUUUAAAAGGCUCUUUUACAGCGCUUUUUUCAAAUAAGCGCUGUAAAAGACCUCCGUGUGUUAUUAUGUUAUUUGAAUGCCUUUUACAGCGCUUUUUUCAAAUAAGCGCUGUAAAAGACCUCCGUGUGUUAUUAUGUUAUUUGAAUGCCUUUUACAGCGCUUUUUUCAAAUAAGCGCUGUAAAAGACCUCCGUGUGUUAUUAUGUUAUAUGAAUGCCUUUUACAGCGCUUUCACACAUAAGCGCUCUAAAAGGCUUCUUUAGUUAAAUUUUUAAAAGGCUCUUUUACAGCGCUUUUUUCAAAUAAGCGCUGUAAAAGACCUCCGUGUGUUAUUAUGUUAUAUGAAUGCCUUUUACAGCGCUUUCACACAUAAGCGCUCUAAAAGGCUUCUUUAGUUAAAUUUUUAAAAGGCUCUUUUACAGCGCUUUUUUCAAAUAAGCGCUGUAAAAGACCUCCGUGUGUUAUUAUGUUAUUUGAAUGCCUUUUACAGCGCUUUUACACAUAAGCGCUCUAAAAUGUCUCUUUAUGUUAAUUUUAAGAGGCUCUUUUACAGCGCUUUUCCCAAAUAAGCGCUGUAAAAGACCUCCGUGUGUUAUUAUGUUAUAUGAAUGUUUUUUAAAGCCUUUUACAGCGCUUUUCCACAUAAGCGCUCUAAAAUGUCUCUUUAUGUUAAUUUUAAAAGGCUCUUUUACAGCGCUUUUUCCAAAUAAGCGCUGUAAAAGGCCUUAUUGUUUUUGUGUUUUGUUAUGUUAUGUUAUUUUUUAAACAAGCUCAACAUGCAUGCAAAACCCACAUAGUAGUAACUGGUCACCACAAAAAUCCCUUCCUCUUCACCAAACUCUUCUCCUUUUAUGCAUCUUCUUCACAAACAUCAAAGCUUACUCUUUCACAAUUCAAUCUCCACCUCAACACCCUUUUUAUCUCUUUACAUUCUCUUUCCUUCUUAAAUCGAAACUUAAUUGGUAUUCAGGAUCAUUGCCAUGUUGCGAAAAAUGGGUUUGUGUCUGGUGUUUUUGGGGAUUCCCAUGAUGCGUACAAGGUGUUUGAAGAAAUGGGUUUGUGUCUGAUGUUUUUUGGAUUCCCAUGAUGCGUACAAGGUGUUUGAAGAAAUGGGUUUGUGUCUGAUGUUUUUUGGAUUCCCAUGAUGCGUACAAGGUGUUUGAAGAAAUUAGGUGUCUGAUGAAUAUUAUUUUUAAAGCUUUUUUACAGCGCUUUGUCAAAUAAGCGCUGUAAAAUGUCUUUUUUACUCACUUUCAAAAGAGUCGUUUACAGCGCUUUGUGUGAAAAGCGCUGUAAAAGGUAUAAAACACUCAUUAUUUUAUUUUUAAAAGGAUCUUUUACAGCGCUUUUUAAGAUAAGCGCUGUAAAAUGUCUCUUUAUUUUAUUUUUGUGUUUGGUUUAUUUGGGUUGGGAUGACAUUAAAAACAUUUUUAUCAUUGUUUAUUGGAUUAAAAAUAUUGUUAUCAUUGUCUUUAUCACAAUACUUUAGGAGAUGAUGAAUUAUUAGAAAUGAGUAUUCUGAAGAAUCUAUAUAUAUAUAUGCACUGAGCAAAAGAGAAUCUCUCUAUUCAGUUCAGUUCAGUUCAUGUAAAUUACUAAUUUAUAUUCAGUUCAGUUCAUGUAAAUCAAGCUAAAUAUAAAACACUCAUUGUUACAUGAACUUGGUAUAAAACACUCAAAUCAAGCUAAAUAUAAGCAGAAAAUAAAUUAAUCAGAAAAUAAAUUAAUCAGAACUUAGUAUAAAACACUCAAUUCAGAUUACAUGCAUAUUUACAAUAACACAGUUCAGAUUACAUGCAUAGCUUAUAUAAAACAAUUAAACAUAUAUAUACAUUAAGAUGCCCUUCUUCUUUUCCUGGUGACAUUCACAUUUGUUUGUCCAUUUACAAUACGAAACGAUGGAUUAAUCCAAAUUCCCUCAUCAUGAUCAUCUCUAAGAUAUAAACCAUCAUCAGUUGAAUCAAUUUCAUGUGGUUGUUGUGAUGUUGCAAAUAAAAGAUCAUUACCAACAUCUUCAUCAUUAUUGUUAUCAUCACUUAUUUUAUUGGUCGAUAGGACAACAGACCAUUUAUCAUUAGAAGGAUCAGUGACAUAAAACACUUGUUGAGCUUGCGACGCUAAAAUAAAAGGCUCGUCUUUGUAUCCCACCCUAUUAAAAUCGACAAGCAAGAAUCCUGACUCAUCAAUCCGAACGCCAUUAUUAUUAUCGACCCACUUGCAACCAAAUAUGGGAACACGAAACAUUGUGUAGUCUAACUCCCAUAUGCGCUCGAUAACCCCAAAAUAUGAUAGAUUUGCAUAUAUUGGGUUUUUGUCUUUUGCACUUGAGACAUGCAUCGCUUCAGCUACGAGAGUGACUCCACUAUUUUGCAUAGUGGUCUGAUCAUCUUGUUCUUUGGUAUAAAAUGUGUAGCCGUUAAUAACAUAACCAGUGUAAGAAAAGACAUGUAAGCUCGGACCAUUUGCUAGCCACCUCAAUCUAUUUGAAAUUGAUCCGGGGUCUAUAUCAAAUUUUGACAUUAUGUGAUUUUUUAACCAUGUUACAAAACUUCGAUUGUGCUCUCGAGUUAUCCAAUUUUGAUUCCUAUUCAUGUUCAAACGAGAUAACUGAUCAAUGUGUAUUGUAACAUACGGUUGAACCUCAUCAUCAUUGUGCAGAACAUACAAUUGUGCCUGCUCCCAUUCUGUCCUUGAUAUAGUCAGUAGUCUCCUUCCAGUUAUCCCUUCUCCUGAUAGUCUUCCCGAAUGACGAGACAUGGGAAGCCCUAUGGAUUCAACAUUGGACAGAUAUUCAGUACAAAAUUCAGCAGCCUCUUCAACAAUGUAUCGUUCAGCAAUACAACCUUCUGGUCGACUUCUACUUUUUACGUACCCUUUUAAUAUUUUCAUAUAUCGUUCUAUCGGAUACAUCCAUCUCAUAUAAGCUGGCCCACAAAGUUGUGUCUCCUUAACCAGAUGAACAGUAAGGUGAACCAUUAUAUCAAAAAACGAUGGUGGGAAAUACAUUUCAAGCUCACACAAAGUAACAACAAUUUCCCUCUGCAAUGUCGGUAAUUUCUGAGGGUCGAUCACUUUACUACAAAUUUCCCUGAAGAAGAAACAUAAUCUAGUUAAGGCUAGUCGAACUUUUUCAGGUAAAAUGGAACGUAUACCUAUUGGUAGCAAAUGCUCCAUUAUAAUAUGACAAUCAUGGGUCUUCAAACCUUUUAACUUGAGGUCUUUCAUACAAACCAAAUUUUUAAUGUUCGAAGAGUAUCCUUCUGGAACUUUAACUUCGUGUAGAAAUUUACAUAAAACAAUUUUUUCCUUUCUAGAUAGAGUAUGAGCGGCUGGAGGUAGAUAUGUGCGAUUUCCUUUCUUUACUGGAGCCAGUUCAUUUCUUAUUCCCAUAUCGACCAAGUCCAAUCUUGCAUUGACGCCAUCUUUAGACUUUCCUGGAACAUUGAGUAACGUACCAAUAACACUUUCAAAUACAUUUUUUUCAAUAUGCAUCACAUCGAGGAAAUGUCUUACAUACAAUGACUUCCAAUAUGGCAAUUCAAAGAAAAUUGACUUUUUCUUCCACCCAGUUUUCACCAGCUCUCCCGCAAAAGGUUUGCCAAAUUUAUUGGUCAAACCUUGUACUUUUUCAAGUAUUUGAUAUCCAGUCGGUGCUAAAGGAGCUUUACCUUCCUCUGAUUUUCCAUUGAAUGCAUUUCUCCACCCACGAUACUGAUGACUAUAAGGUAAAAAUCUACGAUGUCCAAGAAACACAUUCUUCUUACAAUGUUUCAACCACAUCCAAUUUGUACUCUCUUCACAUAUAGGACAUGCACACAAACCUUUAAUGCUAUGUCCUGAUAAAUUACCAUAUGCUGGAAAAUCAUUAAUUAUGCCGAACAACAUAGCCCUCAAAUUGAAACAUUCUUUCUUAUACCCAUCAUAAACUUCCACACCUGUCUCCCACAUACUUUUUAAAUCUUCGAUUAGAGGAGUCAAGUAUACGUCGAUAUCAUUCCCCGGUUGUUUGGGUCCAGAAAUUAACAGAGACAACAUCAUAAACUUACGCUUCAUACAUAACCAUGGAGGUAGGUUAUAUAUUACCAAAAUCACAUGCCACGUGCUAUGUGAGAUGCUUUGAAGACCAUGUGGAUUCAUUCCAUCAGUAGAAAGUGCAAGUCUUAGAUUUCUUGACUCUAUCCCGAAUUCAGGAUACUCGUGAUCAAUUUUUGCCCAUUGUGGGGAAUCUGCAGGGUGUCGAAACAUUCCAUCUCUAAUUCUUUCAUCUGCAUGCCAUAUCAAGUGCUUUGAAUCUUCUUCACUGCGAUACAUUAUCAACAUAUCUAAUAUUGGAAAAUGGAAACCAAGGUCCAUUAUUAUGUAACAAUUUUAAAAUAGAAAAGAUUUCAAAACAGAACAGAUCAACAAAUUUCAAAAAGAAAAGAUUUAAUAUGUAACAAUUUAUUAGUUUUCAGUUAUUAAAAAACUAAAGAUUUUUUGACAACAACAAAUUAAUAAAUACCUGAGACAAAGUAGAUGGCCGCACAGUACGUAGAGGAUAUGAGGGUUCCCAAAGUAGAGGUGAUGAGGGUUCGUAAAUUUGUUUUAAAUUUGUUUUUAUUUAUUUAAAAGUAAAUGAUUUUUAUUUAAAGCGCAUGUCUUUUACAGCGCUUAUGAAAAAAACGCAGUAAUAGGUAAUUUAAUUAUUUGAAAGCGCAUGUCUUUUACAACGCUUGUGAAAAAAGCGUUGUAAAACAUUAUGUGAGGGCGCUUCAGUUUACAGCGCUUGUGAAAAAAGUUAGUUUUUAUUUUAAAGAUCUAAAAUGAUAAUUUAAAAAAUAUAUAUUAUUUUAUAUGAUAUCUAUUUUAACUCUAUUUCUUAAUUUUACACUACAUUAAAAAAAUAAAUAUUAGGCUAGAAUACUUCAAAAUACUAGGCUAGUACUUUAAGACAGUGUACUUAUAUUAUAAAAUAUAUUAGCAAAUCGAUAAUUAGACACAAAAUACAUAAUUAAAUAUAAUAGUAAUAGUUAUUUAUUCCCUAAAAAUUAUUUAUUCCCUAAAUUAGUUUGGCAAAUUUAAAAUACUUUUUCGUGAACCUUAAUCUCUAAUUAAAUUGAUUUUAAAUUAAAUUUAAUGUAAACUAAAUCAUAGGUAGGUCAUGUCCAUUUUCCACCCUUACUAACUUAUUAUAUUCGUAGAAAAUAAUGUUAGGAAAAUUAUGUGUAUUACCAAGAUAGUUAUUUCAAUAACUAUUGGAUGAUAGUUACCACUAAAUUUGCAAGUUUGUAAUGUCAAAUUGAUAUUUUUUAUCUUAAUUUUUUCAACUUAAUUAUUUUUUAUGUGCAAUAAUUAUUUUUUAGAAAAUAAAAAAUAAAAAAUAACACAAAAUUAAAACAUAUUUUAGUGUUUUGAAAAUUCAAGACAUAAAGAAAUAAAUCAAUCUAACUCUUGAUGAAUGUUGAGAUUUGAUUGUAUUAUAUACACCACAACUCAGACCUAUUUCCUUUGUGUAAAUAUUUUUGGUUAUUAUUUCAUAAUUGUUUGUUAAUUUUAUUUAUUGAUAAAGAGGUAAAAUUAUUUUAAAAUAAAUAAUUGUUUAAAUUUUUAAAAAUAAUAAAAUAUCAAAAAAGUAUUAUCGUUACUUCUAAAAAUAUAUUUUCAUUAAUUAAUAUUUUAUAUUCUUCUUAUAACAAUAAUUUACUUAGAUUUUUUUUAUAAAAAUAAAAUAAAUAUAUAUCUUAAAAAGUAAAAAUAUUUUCACAAAAUAAAUAAGACAUUUAACUUUAACUUGGGGGAUGUGAGUUUUAAUUUAGUGUGGUGUGACACAAUCCUGAAUUUGUAUUUGUAUUUUUAUUUUUCAGUCGAGACAGAGUCCGUGGAGGUGAAUGUGUUGGAAAAAAAAGUGACACUUACCUUCAGAUUACCAACUGUUGCUAAAAGAAUCACUCAACAAAUUACUCCCAUCAAUAGGAAUUCUCUGCCUAAAAUUGCCACUAUCAAACGUUUAUUUCGAUCUUCCCUUCAGUAACUGCACUUUACAAAGAAUCUCUAUGUUCACAAAGGAUAUUUUGUUUAUUGAUUUGACAUUGUAUAGAAAUAAUAUUUUUUGCCUCAUAAUUGAAUUGGUUUUAUGAUUAGCGAUUGUUUCUUGAUAAAAUUUUGUUUUAUAGUUUGAACACAUAAUAGUUUCAUAUUCAUUUUUGUUGAUCUUGUUUUGUGCACAUACCUUGAGAA